Girardinichthys multiradiatus is the source of this 2421-nucleotide long non-coding RNA. RefSeq lists it as uncharacterized. Lineage: Eukaryota; Metazoa; Chordata; Actinopteri; Cyprinodontiformes; Goodeidae. The transcript has 5 exons. The record is from RefSeq and is a predicted model, not a curated record.
AGAUAAUACAGCAGGCCUACAGUGAGGAGAUCCAGAGCAGAGACAAAGCGAUGGAGGUGAUAACACUGGAGCCGCCAUUGUCUUGAUAGUCUGAUUUGUGCUGGUGUGUGUGUCUGGCAUUGUCACGGAACAACUUGAAGGAGCCUCCUUGUAAAUCUAAGCUUGCGUGUGUGUUUUGCUUCUUCUUACACUUCAAACAGUGGAGCACUGUUUGUGGGUAAUUCUAAGUUCACGAUAUAACAGCUACACUUUACUGUGAUGAAAAUACCUCUUUCUGUCCACAUGUAAGAACAUUACAAAACAUAGAAAUUAUGCUCCUGCUUGUCCCUGUUUCUGCAUAUGUUAAAAUGUUUUGUGUUUGUGCAGUACACGCCAAACGAAGACCGAAGGCUGACCAAUGAGCCAUCACAGGUCUUGUGAGUCGUUCUGAUGCCCUUUACAGAUAAAAUCAUUGUGAUAAAGAAGUGUCCAUGCACUUGUUAUGUUGGAGCAGGUGCCUGGAAGCUGGUCCUGUUUUGUCCCUGCUCACGGGAGACUUUAAAGAAUCUCUCUUCAUUGCUCUCCUUGUCGGCUUUAAAUGCUCAAAACAGAGAUCCUUGUACAUGUUUUCAUAGGUAUUUUGGCUUUUCCACCAUGUGUGACUGCAUAAGCAAUGUUCUUUUUUAGUAAUCUUAUCCUAGUUUAAUGCCAGAUGCGAUGAAAAAAUAAUUCCACUAUUUUAUCAUCAGUCCAUAGUAUAUUUGGCCAUCAUCAAGUUUUGGGAAACCUGAGACGGCCUUUGUGUUCUUUUUGGCAAAGAGGCAAAGAGGAGCGAUCUUAGGGACGUUAUGACAUAACAGACAAGAUACCUACUUAUAUGGGUGACUUUUCAAAAAGCCAGGUCUUGCGUUCUGCUUGGGGCCUUCAGAGCUGGGGUUAUGCGAUUGCUUUUCCUUCUCCUUUUGACCUACCUGUGUCCAAAAACCCUAAGCCAGAUGUCCUGUCUAGACAAUUCUCCAUUGAUGACUUUGAGGAGGAGCCUGCACCGGUUCUGCCUCCUAGUUGGACAGUUGGGUCCCUCACAUGGGAGGUGGAGGACCUAGUCCUUUGUGCUUAACAACAGGAAUCAGAUCCAGCCAAACCCCCUCCAACACCCCGGACCAUCUGGGGCACCUGGUGUAUGCGGUCCAACGGAUCGUGGACUCCUGUCGGCAGGGUCGUGGUUGGCAGUACCUCGUCGACUGGGAGGGCUACGGUACUGAGGACCGUACUUGGGUGCCCCAGUCCUUUAUCUGUGACCCGUCUCUUAUCAGGUACUUUUGGGCUUCCCUGCCUUCCACUUCCUCAGGGCCACCAGGCGGCGGCCGUUGAGGGGAGGAUGAUGUCGGGGUCUGGGAGUCUUGUGUUUGUGCUUUUCCUGCCUGCUACUAACUAAAACCUAAUUUAAUGUGAUUUAUGCCUAAACCCAAACAAGGAGUUUAGUACUCAAAGGUGGACAAGGUGAAAGAAGCCAAAAAUAACCAUAGGCCACAUAAGGUCUAAGUUGGGAAUGGACCUGUUGUUGAUCCUGUUACUCCUGCUGUGUUUGAUUUUUCUUUGAUUUGUUGUUUACCUUCGCGUUACGUACUGUUAGUAAUAUAAGAUAGUGAUGUAUUUCUCAUUAUUUUAUGCAUUCAAGCAUGAAAGUAACAUGCUUACAAAUAGACAUUGAACAUUGCUAUGUGUGCCACAGGUUCAAUGAGAUACAAAUCAUCAGAAGGGAUAGAUGUUUGUCGGGGUCUGGGAGUUUAGUGUUUGUGCUUUUACUGCCUGCUACUAACUUUGCUUGGUCCAUAGAGGGCACUGUUGCUCCUGGGUGUGAGUGGACAGGUGUUAACCAUCUCCUUAUUGCCGACUGGGGGUAUUUAAGCCUGAAGCUGCCGGCACUUUAUCGGCUGAUUGUUAACCUACAGUGGUACAAUCUCUAGCCCAGAUCUAAGCUUGUUUCAAGUUUCUCUUGGUGUCCAAGACUUACCUUCUCGUGGCCUCCUCCUUAGGUUCCAGACCUAUUUGAUCCAGCUUCCAGUUCUGGUCUUAAGCAUGCUCCUGACCUCUGGAUCUAACUACCUUAGAUGCUCCUGGAUUUUCAAGAUUCAAGUCUCAAGUUUUCUUCUCGGAUUAACUCCCGUCUGGCAGCAUCAGGAUCAACAACAAACCGGCCCAAGUCAGCAGCAAACCCUGUCCACCCUCCAAUGUGCUCUCAGGCAAGCUUCUCGGAGGACUCUUCGUCUCUCAAAGACCGAGCCAUCUGGAUAAACGAAUCACACCAAGGCAACUCCCGUGCUGAGCUCCCAGACUCCACAUCUCCAUUCCCCUUGGUGGUUUCACUCCUCAUCCCUUUGGCGGUUUCCUGGUCCCAGAUCACUACACCUUCCCUGUGUAAAAAUAAAUAUCUUAAAUUAU